RNAcentral lists this ribosomal RNA (588 nucleotides) under Staphylococcus epidermidis. RNAcentral's name for it is "bacterial SSU rRNA". It matches the Rfam family "Bacterial small subunit ribosomal RNA", at positions 80 to 653 of the family's 1533-position model. Lineage: Bacteria; Bacillati; Bacillota; Bacilli; Caryophanales; Staphylococcaceae. The record is from RNAcentral.
UUGCUCCUCUGACGUUAGCGGCGGACGGGUGAGUAACACGUGGAUAACCUACCUAUAAGACUGGGAUAACUUCGGGAAACCGGAGCUAAUACCGGAUAAUAUAUUGAACCGCAUGGUUCAAUAGUGAAAGACGGUUUUGCUGUCACUUAUAGAUGGAUCCGCGCCGCAUUAGCUAGUUGGUAAGGUAACGGCUUACCAAGGCAACGAUGCGUAGCCGACCUGAGAGGGUGAUCGGCCACACUGGAACUGAGACACGGUCCAGACUCCUACGGGAGGCAGCAGUAGGGAAUCUUCCGCAAUGGGCGAAAGCCUGACGGAGCAACGCCGCGUGAGUGAUGAAGGUCUUCGGAUCGUAAAACUCUGUUAUUAGGGAAGAACAAAUGUGUAAGUAACUAUGCACGUCUUGACGGUACCUAAUCAGAAAGCCACGGCUAACUACGUGCCAGCAGCCGCGGUAAUACGUAGGUGGCAAGCGUUAUCCGGAAUUAUUGGGCGUAAAGCGCGCGUAGGCGGUUUUUUAAGUCUGAUGUGAAAGCCCACGGCUCAACCGUGGAGGGUCAUUGGAAACUGGAAAACUUGAGUGCAGAA